Molecule: non-coding RNA, 4875 nt
Organism: Podarcis lilfordi (Lilford's wall lizard)
Lineage: Eukaryota; Metazoa; Chordata; Lepidosauria; Squamata; Lacertidae
Source: the annotation of a GenBank genome assembly
CACAUCCAAGAAGGGACAAAAGGGUCUAGCAAACCCAGAAGAUUUUGCUGAGGUCUGGUGGAUUUUUUGUUAUGCAUAUGGACAAACAGCCAAAAAGGCUAUAUCAACUAAAUAUGACUUCAUUUAGAAAGAAUUAUAAGAGUGACACCACCACUACCACCUGAAAACCACAUGCAUCUGGCAGGCUCCAAGGGCCGAUGAGGACUCCCCAAGUUAUCACCCUCUGGGAGCGACCAUCAAAGUAGGACCAGAACCACUACAAAGCUGUGCCACCCACCCAUAACUCAGCUGCAGCAGAUGGUCUAUGGUAUCAAAAGCCUCUGAGAAGUCAAAGAGAAUUAAGAAGGAUACCUUUUCCCUCCAAGAGUGUCUGGAUCUAGUAAGUGUGUUUAGAAUAGCAACCUGAAUGUUACCUCCCCACCCUAUGAUUUUGCAGUGCAGUGGCGUAGCGUGGGUUGUCAGCACCCGGGGCAAGGCAAGUAAUUUGUGCCCCCUAACCCGUGGAUUUGAGCCCCCUAACCCUAACCCCCAGAUGUUGCGCCCGGUGCGGCCGGCCCCCCCUGCACCCCCCAUGCUACGCCACUGUUGCAGUGCUUCCCCACAGGCAACCACACACACUCUGAAAUUUCUCUCUGAAUGAUUGCAACCAAUCAGGAUCAGGUACAAAUGCUGCUUACAUUACAGUGCUACAUAGCAAAUAAUUUUAGGCUAUGUGUUGAUACCACUAAGGGCAGCUUAAGGGCAUUUAUAGUGAAAACAUUGCUGGUCAGCAAUCACAAACCACUGAGAAUAAAGCAUUUCUACAAUCAUGAUACAAUGAUCCUCCUUUUUGACACAAAGCUCCUUUUCAGAUUAGCCCCAGUAUUGAGGACCAUUUUAAUUAUUUAGUCUUCAGACACUGAAAGCAAUGUUUAAAAACCAGGGAUAUUUCUGAAAAAUGUUUGUAGUACAGUAAUGAAGAUAGCAGCUUUGAAUGUAUAGAAUCUGCUUCUCUGGUGUAAGAAUGUUUGAAUCAGGAGUUAAAAAGCUGUUUGUCAAUAUCACUUCAUAGCUGAAGUUACCAGGUCAAUUGUGGUAGACCCAGAGGUGAUGGUGUUUUUGUCUAUUAAGUCAUAAAGGGGCCUGUCAGCAAUGCUUAUGUAUGGCAAAUCUUGUACAACUUUCAUUACCCAUGUGCCAUCUUGAGGUUGGUUAGGAAAUGCCCUUGGCAAGGUCAAUAUUGUAUCAGUUUCAGAAUUACAUAAUUCCCCUUGCGAAAGGAGCAUUCUUAUUAUUUAAUUAUUUACUAAAAUAUUCCCAUUCCAUCAUUCUGCUUUAUUUCUAAAGUGCCCAAAGUGGCUUACAUCAUGCAAAGUACAAAAAAACAGUCAUAAAUAAAGUUUUUUAAAAUCAGGACAAUAAAAGCAUAGAGAACGCCUCAGCAAAAAGCAAACAAAUAAGCCAAAGGGAUAAAGCAGCAUCAACCAGCUAAGCCAUAUGCACCUGGAAACAGAAUAAUAAAAUUGUAGAGUUCGAAGGGACCCCAAAGGUCAUCUACUCCAACGCCUUGCAAUGUAGUUGUUGUUGUUGUUGUUGUUGUUGUUUAGUCAUUUAGUCGUGUCCGACUCUUCGUGACCCCAUGGACCAGAGCACGCCAGGCACUCCUGUCUUCCACUGCCUCCUGCAGUUUGGUCAGACUCAUGUUUGUAGCUUCGAGAACACUGUCCAACCAUCUCGUCCUCUGUCGUCCCCUUCUCCUUGUGCCCUCCAUCUUUCCCAGCAUCAGGGUCUUUUCCAGGGAGUCUUCUCUUCUCAUGAGGUGGCCAAAGUAUUGGAGCCUCAGCUUCACAAUCUGUCCUUCCAGUGAGCACUCAGGGCUGAUUUCCUUAAGAAUGGAUGUGUUUGAUCUUCUUGCAGUCCAUGGGACUGCAAUGUAGUAGUCAAAGCCAAAUAAUCUCUGACAGACAUUCUAGCUUGUCAUUACCCUUCUCAAACUGUGGUAUCCAGAGCUGGACACAGUACUCCAGACAGGAUCUAACCAAGGCAAAAUAGAGUGAUACUAUUGAUCUAGAGUGAUACAUUUAUUCUAGACACUAUAUGUCUAAUGAUGCAGCCUAGAAUUGCAUUAGCUUUUUCCCACUGCACCACCCUGUUGAAUCGUGAUAACCUUGUGGUCUGCUAAGACCCCUAGAUCUUUUUCAUGUGUACUGCUGCCAAGCCAGGUGUCACCCAUCCUAUAUGUCUGCAUUUGAUUAUUCCUGCCUAAAUGUGUGUGAAUAUUCAUAUUCUUCAGCUAUACCGUGAGGUUCAUUUUACUACUGAACAGAAAAACCUUCUUACAGGCCAGUCUAAAGCAAUCCACCAUGUGCCUCCCUGCCUUCCCAUUCACUCUUUCUCUUCCUAGUCCUCUUCCUACCUUAACAUCCUUCACCAGCCGGAGAAGAUUAAGUUCCCUCUAGCUGGGAGCUUCAGACAAAAGUGGUGCAGCUUCUAACAUUUGGACAAUCAGCUGUUUGAGCACUAUUUUGGGCAUCAUCGUCUGGGAAGAGGUGGUAGUAGCAAGCAAGAUGCACAUGGCUGAUGGUUUCAGACAGUGUUCAGUUAGUUGUUGAGUCUAUAUAUUUUGUCCAUAUAUUCCCAGAACAGGGAAGGACCUGCAGUGAGCUCUUUCUUUUCCAUCUGCCUUCAUCCUGAGUUCCAUGAAGGCUUCUAAAUAACUAGCUUACGAAGCGGUAUGUGCAGAUAGCUAUUAACACACUACAUAAAAAAUGUAUGAACACAUUCUACUUUAUUGAAAUGCAGUAGAACAAAUGAAUCAAAUCAAAACUAUUAAAAGACUGCAGUACAGUUCAUAAAAUGUAGAAGCAGCUUGGGGGCAAAUAAACCACAAAUCUUUGUUCAAGUGGAACAAUGUCAGAUGUCAACUGCCUGAGAAACAUAUGCCAUUGGCUUUUCAUUUUACAUUAAUAACUGUUUGUAAAAACAACGACAAAUACAUAAACCCCCAAAACUCCUCUGCUUCAGAUUAAGGUGUUGGAGAUCUCUGUCUGUGAACACACCCAAAGAAGCAAUGACUCUCUGAUGCUGAGGAAGGAAGUCAAAUUGUGUUUGGCUAAUGAUAAAAGUGUAAAGGUGGAAUACUCAGCAAAUCACAAUCUACUGUUGGGGAGAGUUAUUCAUAAAGCAUAUGUUGCUGGCCAGUUGGUCAGCUGACAUAAUAUCCAAGUGAUCUUUUAACAAAUCACAAUACAAGCAUGGACAAAUUCAAUCCCCCACAAAAGUUGUAAGGGAAUCUUUAACAUCAGCAGGUGUUCAGAUUUUAAAUGAAGAAUUGUAACUGUUCAUUGCAAGUUUCACUGUGAUCUCUCAAUCUCAACAUCAGCUGCUAUACAGCAAAUGUGUGGUUUCCAGGUGGUCAUCCAUCAAGGCACUGACCAGGCACUGCUUAGCUUCAGAGGUGGUGGGUUCAUGUGACUUCUGCCCAUGCACUGGGACCAUAGAGAUUGCACAGUGAGAAAUUUUCUGUGAACAUGGUGGAAACUCUCCUUUGCUCAGUCUUUCUAAGCUUUAUCAGAUAAGUUGCACGGGGAGGGAAUCAAUUCUAUGGGGAAGUUGAUAUAUGAUUGGCUGAAUCUGACAGGGGCAUAUUCACUGUAAAAAGAGUCCCCAAGAUUGGAUUGAACCAGACUUACCAUUCCCAUGUUGCAAACCAUUUAUGGAAUGAAGACAGCCCCCUUCAGACCCAGCAGAGCAUGAAUCAGCUUGGUAACAUUGCUGGCAUGUGCGGCACCACUGAGGAUACAGACCCCUUUGCAAGUACUGCAGUAAAUAGGGAUGCCAGACAAUUCUGGUGCAAACUGAAAAGGAAGAAUAUAUUGCUGCAGUUCACAUGUUCAUCUAUGGUCAGGAACAGAACUCAGCCAAGCAAAUACAAUCAUUGUUGUGGUUUUUGAUUCCACAAAUAAUGGUUUCAACAUUUCAUUUACACUGAAAUGAGUUAAACAAAUAGCUAUGUAAGUUAUGCUAAAUAGUGAACAAGAUGAAUAAUGUAGUAUUUGGUGAAAAGCGAUUUUCAGUGGAACAAAAACAGCACUGAUUUUUAUUUGAAUGGAUCUCACAGCCUUGUUACAUCCCUUGCAAAUAAUGCCUGAAAGGCGUUAGCAUGCACUGAAUUUCUUUCUAAUAUGUCAGUGUUCAAGAGCAUAAUUACAGUGCAAACAAACCUGCAAAGAACUUGAGUGCCAAUCAAAAGCCUCACUAAGUUUGGAGAACAAUUUCUUAAAAUGCUCAAAAGGAAGCAAGGUGGUGGGGGAGACAUACAUUAAUCGUACCAUUUUUUGUUUUAUCUAUAAAAACAGAAGUGAGGCCUCUGUUAGAUCUCCCAGUUGCUAUUAUUCCUGCGCUAUUCACUCAACAUUGUGCUGCUGUACAUCACUGGGACUCAGAGCAAAUCCUGUGCAGUCAAGGAAAGCAAGCUGAUAAGGCCCUUUGCGGUCACAAUACUUGUAAAGAGCAGCACAGCAAUCAGCAGUGACAAAGUGCUAAUGAGGACUGGCAUUGCAAUUAGUGGCACAGAAGAUUUCCUCCCACCCUGUCCCAGUUUGGCAUUUGACUUUUCAUAGGUCUGAUCUGAAUCAAGCUGGUGCUAGAUUAUUCCACAGAAGUGAGCAUCUUUUGAACUUCUCUCUUCAAAGUCAUUAGUACUGAAAUCAACAUAAAUAGAAUAUGCUGCUUCAGACUUGACUACCAAGUGCUUCAAACUUGGACUGCCAAGCAUGACUACCCAAAGGAGCCACACAGUAGUACAUGGCGUAAAAUUAAUCAGCAAGGUUUCCUGCUGCCUCUUUGAUUCAGAGCGAGUAGCACCUCACCUAACCUGCGAAACAUAUGAUGCCA